Molecule: ribosomal RNA, 285 nt
Filed under: uncultured bacterium
Lineage: Bacteria
Description: partial 16S ribosomal RNA
Rfam family: Bacterial small subunit ribosomal RNA
Source: RNAcentral
AUUGAACGCUGGCGGCAUGCCUUACACAUGCAAGUCGAACGGCAGCACGGGAGCAAUCCUGGUGGCGAGUGGCGAACGGGUGAGUAAUACAUCGGAACGUACCCAGUAGGUGGGGGAUAGCUCGGCGAAAGCCGGAUUAAUACCGCAUACGACCUACGGGUAGAAAGGCGGGGGAUCGCAAGACCUCGCGCGAUUGGAGCGGCCGAUGGCAGAUUAGGUAGUUGGUGGGGAAAGGCUCACCAAGCCGUCGAUCUGUAGCUGGUCUGAGAGGACGACCAGCCACAC